AGUGAACGCUGGCGGUAGGCCUAACACAUGCAAGUCGAACGGCAGCACAGUAGGAGCUUGCUCUUACGGGUGGCGAGUGGCGGACGGGUGAGGAAUACAUCGGAAUCUACUUUUUCGUGGGGGAUAACGUAGGGAAACUUACGAUAAUACCGCAUACGACCUACUGGUGAAAGCAGGGGAACUUCGGACAUUGCGCGCAUGAAUGAGCCGAUGUCGGAUUAGCUAGUUGGCGGGGUAAAGGCCCACCAAGGCGCCGAACCGUAGCUGGUCUGAGAGGAUGAUCAGCACCACUGGAAUGGGGACACGGUCCGGACUCCUACGGGAGGCAGCAGUGGGGAAUAUUGGAAAAUGGGCGCAAGCCUGCUCCAGCCAGACCGCGUGGGUGAAGAAGGCCUUCGGGUUUUAAAGCCCUUUUGUUGGGAAAGAAAAGCAGCAGGUUAAUACCCCGCUGUUCUGACGGUACCCAAAGAAUAAGCACCGGCUAACUUCGUG
RNAcentral lists this ribosomal RNA (492 nucleotides) under uncultured bacterium. RNAcentral describes it as "partial 16S ribosomal RNA". It matches the Rfam family "Bacterial small subunit ribosomal RNA", at positions 29 to 507 of the family's 1533-position model. The record is from RNAcentral.